UCAGAGUGAACGCUGGCGGUAGGCCUAACACAUGCAAGUCGAACGGCAGCACAGUAAGAGCUUGCUCUUAUGGGUGGCGAGUGGCGGACGGGUGAGGAAUACAUCGGAAUCUACUUUUUCGUGGGGGAUAACGUAGGGAAACUUACGCUAAUACCGCAUACGACCUACGGGUGAAAGCAGGGGAUCUUCGGACCUUGCGCGAUUGAAUGAGCCGAUGUCGGAUUAGCUAGUUGGCGGGGUAAAGGCCCACCAAGGCGACGAUCCGUAGCUGGUCUGAGAGGAUGAUCAGCCACACUGGAACUGAGACACGGUCCAGACUCCUACGGGAGGCAGCAGUGGGGAAUAUUGGACAAUGGGCGCAAGCCUGAUCCAGCCAUACCGCGUGGGUGAAGAAGGCCUUCGGGUUGUAAAGCCCUUUUGUUGGGAAAGAAAUCCAGCCGGUUAAUACCUGGUUGGGAUGACGGUACCCAAAGAAUAAGCACCGGCUAACUUCGUGCCAGCAGCCGCGGUAAUACGAAGGGUGCAAGCGUUACUCGGAAUUACUGGGCGUAAAGCGUGCGUAGGUGGUUGUUUAAGUCUGUUGUGAAAGCCCUGGGCUCAACCUGGGAACUGCAGUGGAAACUGGACAACUAGAGUGUGGUAGAGGGUAGCGGAAUUCCCGGUGUAGCAGUGAAAUGCGUAGAGAUCGGGAGGAACAUCCAUGGCGAAGGCAGCUACCUGGACCAACAC
Molecule: ribosomal RNA, 729 nt
Filed under: Stenotrophomonas sp. OTU25_I
Lineage: Bacteria; Pseudomonadati; Pseudomonadota; Gammaproteobacteria; Lysobacterales; Lysobacteraceae
Description: bacterial SSU rRNA
Rfam family: Bacterial small subunit ribosomal RNA
Source: RNAcentral